AGUUAGUGAUAACCAAAAGGCUUGUGCCCAUUAUUUACGAUCAAAAGGUUGCCCACAGAGCUGUGAAUGUAAUCCUUAUUAUACUUCUGGAGGUGCCACACGAAUAACGGUGAAGUGCCAAUCAUUGAAUACAAUUCCAAGCAAGCUGUCUUCUGAUACUGCUGUUUUAAUGCUUCAAGCAAAUGAAAUUAGCAGCAUCUCCAAAGGUGCAUUUGAAGAGAUGCCCAAUCUUC
Long non-coding RNA from Exaiptasia diaphana, 233 nucleotides. RefSeq lists it as uncharacterized. The record is from RefSeq and is a predicted model, not a curated record. Lineage: Eukaryota; Metazoa; Cnidaria; Anthozoa; Actiniaria; Aiptasiidae. The transcript has 3 exons.